GCUGGGUGUGCUGGCACCCGCCUGUAGUCCCAGCUACUUAGGAGGCUGAGGUGGGAGGAUCACUCAAGCCCAGGAGUUCAAGGUUGUAAUGAGCUGUGAUUGCUCAUUACAACCACUGCACUCCAGCCUGAGCAACAGAGUGAGACCCUGUCUCUU
Non-coding RNA from Pan troglodytes (chimpanzee), 156 nucleotides. It matches the Rfam family "Metazoan signal recognition particle RNA". Rfam says of the family: The signal recognition particle (SRP) is a universally conserved ribonucleoprotein. It is involved in the co-translational targeting of proteins to membranes. The eukaryotic SRP consists of a 300-nucleotide 7S RNA and six proteins: SRPs 72, 68, 54, 19, 14, and 9. Lineage: Eukaryota; Metazoa; Chordata; Mammalia; Primates; Hominidae. The record is from Rfam.